Molecule: ribosomal RNA, 253 nt
Filed under: uncultured bacterium
Lineage: Bacteria
Description: partial 16S ribosomal RNA
Rfam family: Bacterial small subunit ribosomal RNA
Source: RNAcentral
UACAUAGGGCGCAAGCGUUGUCCGGAAUUAUUGGGCGUAAAGAGCUCGUAGGCGGUUUGUCGCGUCUGCCGUGAAAGUCCGGGGCUCAACUCCGGAUCUGCGGUGGGUACGGGCAGACUAGAGUGAUGUAGGGGAGAUUGGAAUUCCUGGUGUAGCGGUGAAAUGCGCAGAUAUCAGGAGGAACACCGAUGGCGAAGGCAGGUCUCUGGGCAUUAACUGACGCUGAGGAGCGAAAGCAUGGGGAGCGAACAGG